GAUGAAGAACGCAGCGAAAUGCGAUAAGUAAUGUGAAUUGCAGAAUUCAGUGAAUCAUCGAAUCUUUGAACGCACAUUGCGCCCGCCAGUAUUCUGGCGGGCAUGCCUGUUCGAGCGUCAUUUCAACCAUCAAGCCCCAGGCUUGUGUUGGGGACCUGCGGCUGCCGCAGGCCCUGAAAACCAGUGGCGGGCUCGCUGUCACACCGGGCGUAGUAGAUUUUAUCUCGCUCAGGGCGUGCUGCGGGUUCCGGCCGUUAAAAAGCCUUUUUUACCCAAGGUUGACCUCGGAUCAGGUAGGAAUACCCGCUGAACUUAAGCAUAUCAAUAAGCGGAAGA
Molecule: unclassified non-coding RNA, 336 nt
Filed under: soil metagenome
Description: partial contains 5.8S ribosomal RNA, internal transcribed spacer 2, and large subunit ribosomal RNA
Rfam family: 5.8S ribosomal RNA (bases 1-120)
Source: RNAcentral